RNAcentral lists this ribosomal RNA (393 nucleotides) under uncultured bacterium. Its description in RNAcentral is "bacterial SSU rRNA". It matches the Rfam family "Bacterial small subunit ribosomal RNA", at positions 28 to 422 of the family's 1533-position model. The record is from RNAcentral.
GACGAACGCUGGCGGCGUGCUUAACACAUGCAAGUCGAGCGGUAAGGCCCUUUCGGGGGUACACGAGCGGCGAACGGGUGAGUAACACGUGGGCGACCUGCCCUCAGCUCUGGGAUAAGCCCGGGAAACUGGGUCUAAUACCGGGAUAUGACUCCAUGACGCAUGUUGUGGGGUGGAAAGCCUUGUGCGGCUGAGGAUGGGCCCGCGGCCUAUCAGCUUGUUGGUGGGGUGAUGGCCACCAAGGCGACGACGGGUAGCCGGCCUGAGAGGGCGACCGGCCACACUGGGACUGAGAUACGGCCCAGACUCCUACGGGAGGCAGCAGUGGGGAAUCUUGCGCAAUGGGCGAAAGCCUGACGCAGCGACGCCGCGUGAGGGAUGACGGCCUCGUGU